GGAGGUAAAUUACCUUUACCUAUGAAUUUCAAUUUUUAUUUAAAUCUUCAUCAGAUGAGGUACAGAAAAAAAAAUCACCUUGGCAAAAAAACAUCACCUAAAAGAAGGAAACUUUGAAUAAUGGAUGACGACGAAUAAAGCGACAAUGUCACGUUGAUAGGAUAACAUCAUUUCUUCACACGAGGCAAUCUUCGCUGACGCUGUACUGUCUGAAUUUUUCGUUUCCAACAAAUGGAGGAGGAAGAGGAAAAAGAAUUGUUGCUAAAAACUUUUCGUUCCGUUUUAUGUAUCAACAGCACGUACCAGCUCUUGUCAAGAUAUACGGGAAUGUUUUCGAAGAGAGUGAUUUUCGUUAUAGGAUAGAAUAGAAAAUUUUUGCGUGUGUACAUAUAUAUAUGUAUAUGUAAACUUUGCUAACACCCUGAUAUCUGAGCAUGUAAUCGGUACUUCCGCUUUCGUGAUACAAGCAUUUCGUUAUCUUAUCUUGUUUAAAUUGCUCUCAGAGAGAUUGAGUGAUGGAAAGGGUGGGAGAGAGUUUGGACCCCAGUUGUCUUAUCAUCACCCCUUAUCACAAUAAUUAUCCAUCACGCACCACUUUCUUCCUCUCUAUCUCUCCUCCUAAUCGGACGUUAGCGCUUUCGAUUGCAACUUGAUCAAAAUUAUUUAUCUUUGACAAAGAAUACUUUAUCGCAGACUCUCGUGACCGUAUCGAUUCAUAUUGUGAUUUCGAUAAAAUAUUAUUAUUUGUAUGUGAAAUAUUUUUUAUUCAAAAUUUUUAUGUUUUAUUUUUAUAAUUGCUGUUUGUAAUACGAUGAUAAAUUUACAACGAUAAAAAGAAAAAUAAAUCGUCAAUUAUUUGUUUAUAAAAAAAAA
Molecule: long non-coding RNA, 873 nt
Organism: Leptopilina heterotoma
Lineage: Eukaryota; Metazoa; Arthropoda; Insecta; Hymenoptera; Figitidae
Exons: 2
Source: RefSeq, a predicted model, not a curated record